AUAUAGAUAACUUAAAUUUAAAGUAUUACUCUGAAAAAGUAAAAAUAAUAUAUUUAUAUAUUUCUAUAUA
Molecule: transfer RNA, 70 nt
Filed under: Ampulex compressa
Lineage: Eukaryota; Metazoa; Arthropoda; Insecta; Hymenoptera; Ampulicidae
Description: tRNA-Phe
Source: RNAcentral